CUGCAUUGGCUGUCGUCAGCUCGUGUCGUGAGAUGUCGUUAAGUCCGCUAACGAGCGCAACCCUCGCUGUGUGUUACAAGUGUCACACGGUACUGCCGGUCUUAAGCCGGAGGAAGGUGGGGAUGACGUCAAGUCCUCAUGGCCUUUAUGUCUAGGGCUACACACGUACUACAAUGGCCGGUACAAGGGGCAGCCACUCAGCGAUGAGGCGCUAAUCCCAUAAAGCCGGUCUCAGUCCGGAUCGCAGUCUGCAACUCGACUGCGUGAAGUUGGAAUCGCUAGUAAUCGUGGAUCAGCAUGCCACGGUGAAUACGUUCCCGGGCCUU
RNAcentral lists this ribosomal RNA (326 nucleotides) under uncultured Desulfovibrio sp. RNAcentral's name for it is "bacterial SSU rRNA". It matches the Rfam family "Bacterial small subunit ribosomal RNA", at positions 1041 to 1382 of the family's 1533-position model. Lineage: Bacteria; Pseudomonadati; Thermodesulfobacteriota; Desulfovibrionia; Desulfovibrionales; Desulfovibrionaceae. The record is from RNAcentral.